RNAcentral lists this ribosomal RNA (873 nucleotides) under uncultured bacterium. RNAcentral's name for it is "bacterial SSU rRNA". It matches the Rfam family "Bacterial small subunit ribosomal RNA", at positions 8 to 861 of the family's 1533-position model. The record is from RNAcentral.
AGAGUUUGAUCCUGGCUCAGGAUGAACCCUGGCGGCGUGCCUAAUACAUGCAAGUCGAACGCACAGCGAAAGGUGCUUGCACCUUUCAAGUGAGUGGCGAACGGGUGAGUAACACGUGGAUAAUCUACCUCAAGGUUGGGGAUAACAUUCGGAAACAGAUGCUAAUACCGAAUAAAACUUCGUAUCGCAUGAUACAAGGUUAAAAGGCGCUACGGCGUCACCUAGAGAUGGAUCCGCGGUGCAUUAGUUAGUUGGUGGGGCAAAGGCCUACCAAGACAAUGAUGCAUAGCCGAGUUGAGAGACUGAUCGGCCACAUUGGGACUGAGACACGGCCCAAACUCCUAUGGGAGGCUGCAGUAGGGAAUCUUCCACAAUGGGCGAAAGCCUGAUGGAGCAACGCCGCGUGUGUGAUGAAGGCUUUCGGGUCGUAAAGCACUGUUGUAUGGGAAGAACAGCUAGAGUAGGGAAUGACUUUAGUUUGACGGUACCAUACCAGAAAGGGACGGCUAAAUACGUGCCAGCAGCCGCGGUAAUACGUAUGUCCCGAGCGUUAUCCGGAUUUAUUGGGCGUAAAGCGAGCGCAGACGGUUGAUUAAGUCUGAUGUGAAAGCCCGGAGCUCAACUCCGGAAAGGCAUUGGAAACUGGUCAACUUGAGUGCAGUAGAGGUAAGUGGAACUCCAUGUGUAGCGGUGGAAUGCGUAGAUAUAUGGAAGAACACCAGCGGCGAAGGCGGCUUACUGGACUGUAACUGACGUUGAGGCUCGAAAGUGUGGGUAGCAAACAGAAUUAGAUACCCUGGUAGUCCACACCGUAAACGAUAACUAUAUAGGUGUUAGGAGGUUUCCGCCUCUUAGUGCCGAAGCUAACGCAUU